CCAAAGCUGGAGGAGGGGAUGCCAGGAGGCUGUGGCUUCAGGCCUAGAGAGUCCAUGUGGCUGACCUCAGAAAGAACAGGACAAGGCCUUGUCACAUAAGCAGAAGCAGCUUGUGCAUGACGAGGUAGGGCUGCUUGGUUAUAAGUUUCUUCUCCGGUAACAGUGAAAACAUCCUUAGCCCCAGGGGAGAGUGAACAGUGGACGGGCUCUGACCCGCAGGAAUGCCAAACUUUUAUGAUGAGUCCCUUGGUCAAGACUUCCUGCCAUCACCAACUUCCAAUCCUGGCUCAGAUACUUACGGGGUGAAUGACCCCUAGCAUUAUGUGGCCAUGAAAAAAAAAACCACAUUGGAUUGGAAGACGUUCAUUUGAACCCCAAAUAAACUCCUGGCUCCCCUUCAUUUAGAGCUGGGUAUCCUGAAACCAA
Molecule: long non-coding RNA, 426 nt
Organism: Sarcophilus harrisii (Tasmanian devil)
Lineage: Eukaryota; Metazoa; Chordata; Mammalia; Dasyuromorphia; Dasyuridae
Exons: 2
Source: RefSeq, a predicted model, not a curated record